AACGAACGCUGGCGGCAUGCCUAACACAUGCAAGUCGAGCGAGGCCUUCGGGUCUAGUUGCGCACGGGUGCGUAACGCGUGGGAACCUUCCCUUAUGUUCGGAAUAACUCCCCGAAAGGGGUGCUAAUACCGGAUAAUGUCUUCGGACCAACGAUGUAUCUCCUUUGGAUUGGCCCGCGUUGUAUUAGCUAUUUGGUAGGGUAAACGACUACCAAGGCGAAGUUGCAUAGCUGGUCUGAGAGGAUGACCAGCCACACUGGGACUGGGACACGGACCAGACUUUUACGGGAGGAAGAAGGGGGGACUAUGGGACGAUGGGCGAAAGACUGAUGCAGCAAGGCCGCGAGAGUGAGGAAGGACUUAGGGUCGUAAAGCUCUUUUAACCGGGAUGAUAAUGACAGUACCGGGAGAAUAAGCGACGGCUAACUACGUG
This 433-nucleotide ribosomal RNA is filed under the name uncultured bacterium. Its description in RNAcentral is "partial 16S ribosomal RNA". It matches the Rfam family "Bacterial small subunit ribosomal RNA", at positions 29 to 507 of the family's 1533-position model. The record is from RNAcentral.